AACCCCUCAAAACUCCAUAACAAUGCUGGGAAGUCCUUUUAGGCGGUGUGAACAGUGCACCUGAACAGGGGCGGCGCGUGGACUCACACGCCGCCGCUGGGAAAGCUAGGAAAUGAGUGGAUCUGAAAUGGCUUCCUCCCUUCUUCUCUCCCUCGCCGGUUGUGACCUGCAAAUCAACAGAAAACACAACAACACAGUCGAUUCUCCUCUUCCUAGAUCUGUUUAGAUCGGUUUCUCUCUCCUUUAUUUUGGGUCUGCUCCAUUUCUCUAUUGAUGGCAGAUCUGGUGGCGGUUGGCUUCUGUGAAGGCCGAUCUGCGGGGAGAUGAAGAAGA
Populus euphratica (Euphrates poplar) is the source of this 333-nucleotide long non-coding RNA. RefSeq lists it as uncharacterized. The transcript has 2 exons. The record is from RefSeq and is a predicted model, not a curated record. NCBI's taxonomy places the organism in Eukaryota, Viridiplantae, Streptophyta, Magnoliopsida, Malpighiales, Salicaceae.